GGAAGAUGGAGUUCAUUCAACUAAUCCUGAACCUUUCCUGAAAAAACUGGAGAUAUGAAAUCUGAAUUUUCCAGAAUGGAAAAACAGCAUACUUCUAUUGCAGCCUUUUGGCAGACUAUUAUAUAUUAUUCUUCCUGUGCAAAAAAAUUGAUUCAUAACUUCCUGAAUUUAGUUAUUAUUAUGGUUUAUUUUUAUAAUAAAAUUCUAUUUAAGCUUGCUUUUUCUCUAGUUUCAGUAUACAGACUGAAAUCUAAUAAAUUCAGUUUGGAAAAUCCAAUCAGAUUCUCAAGCUUUGAAGAUCAUUAAAAAUUUUUUGAUUUCACUUUUAACACCAAUCAGUUCUAUCAGAUAAUACUGCCUUAGCGCAACGUGCGCUCACUUCAUAUUUAGAUGUUGAAUGGAACAACAGUAAAUUAUUGUGUAGGGAACAAGAUCCUAAGAGAGGGAGGAUCGCAGAAACAGUAACGAGAUACAUCAGCCGGAACAGGAAGUGUAAACCAAUUAAUAAGUUUGACGCUGCUACAGUAAAUAAUGCUUGGAAAUGGUGCAAUACCUAUGGACAUUAGCAAAUGGACAAGUACAGACUUUUGAAAUUUUUUAGAUUUAAUAUGCUGAUUAAUUUGACCAAUGAGUAUAUUGUGAAUUAUUAUCUGUGACACAACAUGUUAGUGAGAAGUAUUUAAUAUUUUGGUUUCUUAAUUAAAAAUAGGUUCGAUGUAAUUCCAUAAGAAAUUUGAUUGUUAUGGCAAU
Molecule: long non-coding RNA, 750 nt
Filed under: Androctonus crassicauda
Lineage: Eukaryota; Metazoa; Arthropoda; Arachnida; Scorpiones; Buthidae
Source: RNAcentral